AUGGCAUCCGAAUGGAUGACCAGGAUGAAGGAUUGAUUAGCUUUGGCUAAUGGCAUCCGAAUGGAUGACCAGGAUGAAGGAUUGAUUAGCUUCGGCUAAUGGCAUCCGAAUGGAUGACCAUGACGAACGACUGAUUAGCUUUGGCUAAUGGCAUCCAAUGGAUGGCCGGGACAAAGAAUGAUUAGCUUUGGCUAAUGGCAUCGUAAUGGAUGACCGGGACGAACGACUGAUUAGCUUUGGCUAAUGACAUCCAAUGGAUGGCCGGGACAAAGAAUGAUUAGCUUUGGCUAAUGGCAUCCGAAUGGAUGACCGGGACGAACGACUGAU
RNAcentral lists this long non-coding RNA (327 nucleotides) under Populus trichocarpa (black cottonwood). RNAcentral describes it as "long non-coding RNA (PTRI_LNC001802)". Lineage: Eukaryota; Viridiplantae; Streptophyta; Magnoliopsida; Malpighiales; Salicaceae. The record is from RNAcentral.